AGGGAAACCGAGUCUUAACUGGGCGUUAAGUUGCAGGGUAUAGACCCGAAACCCGGUGAUCUAGCCAUGGGCAGGUUGAAGGUUGGGUAACACUAACUGGAGGACCGAACCGACUAAUGUUGAAAAAUUAGCGGAUGACUUGUGGCUGGGGGUGAAAGGCCAAUCAAACCGGGAGAUAGCUGGUUCUCCCCGAAAGCUAUUUAGGUAGCGCCUCGUGAACUCAUCUUCGGGGGUAGAGCACUGUUUCGGCUAGGGGGUCAUCCCGACUUACCAACCCGAUGCAAACUGCGAAUACCGAAGAAUGUUAUCACGGGAGACACACGGCGGGUGCUAACGUCCGUCGUGAAGAGGGAAACAACCCAGACCGCCAGCUAAGGUCCCAAAGUCACAGUUAAGUGGGAAACGAUGUGGGAAGGCUCAGACAGCCAGGAUGUUGGCUUAGAAGCAGCCAUCAUUUAAAGAAAGCGUAAUAGCUCACUGGUCGAGUCGGCCUGCGCGGAAGAUGUAACGGGGCUAAACUGUGCACCGAAGCUGCGGCAGCGACGCUUAUGCGUUGUUGGGUAGGGGAGCGUUCUGUAAGCCUGCGAAGGUGUCCUGUGAGGGAUGCUGGAGGUAUCAGAAGUGCGAAUGCUGACAUAAGUAACGAUAAUGCGGGUGAAAAGCCCGCUCGCCGGAAGACCAAGGGUUCCUGUCCAACGUUAAUCGGGGCAGGGUGAGUCGACCCCUAAGGCGAGGCCGAAAGGCGUAGUCGAUGGGAAACGGGUUAAUAUUCCCGUACUUGGUGUUACUGCGAAGGGGGGACGGAGAAGGCUAUGUUGGCCGGGCGACGGUUGUCCCGGUUUAAGCGUGUAGGCUGGUUUUCCAGGCAAAUCCGGAAAAUCAAGGCUGAG
This 890-nucleotide ribosomal RNA is filed under the name Salmonella enterica subsp. enterica serovar Kentucky. RNAcentral describes it as "partial 23S ribosomal RNA". It matches the Rfam family "Bacterial large subunit ribosomal RNA", at positions 670 to 1560 of the family's 2925-position model. The record is from RNAcentral. Lineage: Bacteria; Pseudomonadati; Pseudomonadota; Gammaproteobacteria; Enterobacterales; Enterobacteriaceae.